GCCGGGCGCAGUGGUGCGUGCCUGUAGUCCCAGCUACUUGGGAGGCUGAGGUGGGAGGAUCGCUUGAGCCCAGGAGUUCUGGGCUGUAGUGCGCUAUGCCGAUCGGGUGUCCGCACUAAGUUCAGCAUCAAUAUAGUGACCUCCCGGGAGCAGGGGACCACCAAGUUGCCUAAGGAGCGGUCCUGAACCAGUCCAGGUCGGAAACGGAGCAGGUGAAAACUCCAGUGCCGAUCAGUAAUGGGAUUACACCUGUGAAUAGCCACUACACUCCCACUUGGGCAACAUAGCGAGACCCUGUCUCU
RNAcentral lists this signal recognition particle RNA (302 nucleotides) under Cebus imitator (Panamanian white-faced capuchin). Its description in RNAcentral is "Metazoan signal recognition particle RNA (ENSCCAG00000002373.1)". It matches the Rfam family "Metazoan signal recognition particle RNA". From Rfam's summary of the family: The signal recognition particle (SRP) is a universally conserved ribonucleoprotein. It is involved in the co-translational targeting of proteins to membranes. The record is from RNAcentral. Lineage: Eukaryota; Metazoa; Chordata; Mammalia; Primates; Cebidae.